ACAUUUUUUAGAGUAUCUACUUUUUAACAUUAAUUUUUGGUAUCCCGAUAUGUUUUGGAUACGUUUAGAUACGUUGUUGAUACGUUUUGGAUACGCAUGGGGUUAAAAUUGUUAUUACUUAAAAUUAAAGGGUCAAAACUGCAAUUAGGUGUACAUAUAUUUUUUGAUCUGAUACGUACAUAUUCAAGUCGAUUACAGAGAAGGAAAAGGCAGAAGUCGAUCUGGAAGUCUCUCGUUCGCCUCUCAUCUCUCAACAAGAGACGUGGAUCUAUCAACUAUAUAUAGGACAGAACGACGUAGAUGACAAAGCAGAAGGAAGAGAGAGAAGCAAGGUAAAGUUUCUGAUAGUACAACUUGUCCGUGGAGAAUGGGGGAGGAAGGUGUAUAUAUAGCAAUUAGUGGGAGAGUGCAGAAUGGGGGAGGAAGCUGCCUAGCAAUUUGGGACUAAAAGUGAAAUGAAAUGGGCUCAUUGGUUGGCUUGACCUCAGUAAUUUUAUGGUCACAGAAUGAAGUAGAAGAAGAAGCAGAAGGGAGAGAGAGAAGCAAGGUAAAGUUUCUGAUAGUACAACUUGUCGGUGGAGAAUGGGGGAGGAAGGUGUCUAUAGAGCAAUUAGUGGGAGAGUGCAGAAUGGGGGAGGAAGCUGCCUAGCAAU
Long non-coding RNA from Rhododendron vialii, 653 nucleotides. RefSeq lists it as uncharacterized. Lineage: Eukaryota; Viridiplantae; Streptophyta; Magnoliopsida; Ericales; Ericaceae. The record is from RefSeq and is a predicted model, not a curated record. The transcript is spliced from 2 exons.